RNA transcript from Nilaparvata lugens (brown planthopper), 1562 nucleotides. It is a transcript of the gene named sin3 histone deacetylase corepressor complex component SDS3, with no coding region annotated. The transcript has 11 exons. Lineage: Eukaryota; Metazoa; Arthropoda; Insecta; Hemiptera; Delphacidae. The record is from RefSeq and is a predicted model, not a curated record.
GUGUACGUGUACGGUUUGUCUUGCAACUUGCUCAUAAUUGUUUUGGUUUCGAUUUUUGAUUCUCUUCUGUGCAUACUGUGUAAGUGCAAGCAUCAAGUGGAUUGUAAAUAUUACAUUUAUUAUAAACUUCUCUGAAAUUUAUAGGUUUUACAAACCUCAUUCCUGGAAUUUAUCGUAUAUAUUUUUCUCUUGGAUUUUUCAAUAUUUUACAGUUUCUAAGAUCUCUGUGUGCAAAGGAAUUUGUGAAACAGUUUUCUGCAAAAAAUUACAUUUAACACUAAAUGGUUUUCCUGGAAACAUGCAGAUCUAAAGCAAUGUCGAAUCAUCAUCACCAUCAAAGUUCCAUGUAUUCAAUGAACUAUGAUUACGACUUUGAUGAUGAUAACGACGACUUUGAAGAUGAUCGAGAUAGAGACAGAGAUGAGAGUGACGAAGACACUGAGGAAGCAAGUGAGUCGGAACUCAGAAAACCCGAAGAGUACACUGAAAUAAAAGAGCAAGUGUAUCAAGACAACUUGGCUAGUCUGAAAAAGCAACUGCAACAGUUGAAAGAUGGAUCUCAUCCAGAGUAUAAUAAGAAGUUGAAGAAGCUUGAGAGCUUGUACAAAGAAAGGCUACGUAUCAACACAACAUGGCGUGAGUUUCUGGUGGAAGUGGUUGAAAAAGAGUAUGUCUACGAGCAGAAAGCAGCUGCUAAGGAACUGGAGGAGAAGAAGGUGGAACUUCGAGCCAGCUUGGUGAUUGACAUGGAGGAAAAGAGAAAGACAAUUGAGAUGGAACGCAUCACGAUGGAGCUGAGCGGUGACACGACCGAGACGAAGCCGGCGAUCACCCGCAAACUGCGACGUCGGCCGCACGACCCGGCACCCACACUGCCUGACAAGCGUCGCGGCGGCGGCAAGAUGGCGUCGCUGCCCGCCCACCUCAACUACCUGCUCGACGAGAAGGAGAUCGAACUCGACCUGAAGAUCAUGAGUCGAGUCAAGACCAUUCCGCCCAACCGCAAGCCAACUUCCAGUGCCACUGCCAAUGAAAGCUGUAGCAAGAGGAUGGCGAGAGAAAAAGGUUCCGAUAGCAAGCUUGAUGGCAGGCAUGCAAGAGACGAUAAAGUUAACCUACCAGCUCAAAUACCUUCAGUUGGUUCUGUCCUUUCUGAUUGUAACCUACCUGAUACGAGGAUCGAAGAUGGCAAGCUUCUCUAUGAGAGGAGAUGGUUCCAUCGAGGCCAGCCAGUCUAUGUGGAGGGGAAGGACAUGAACAGGUUUGCUGCAAUUAUUUCAGCAAUUGGAACUGAAUCUAGAUGGAAUGAUAAUCAUGGAUACCAGAGAUAAAAAUGUCCUAAAAAGGAUGAAAAUGCCGCUUCAGCUGGAAGAAUGACUUGCAGCUGGUGAUUUGGGUGAAGAAAACAUCCGAUGCUUCCAAAGUGAAAAUUUACUUGUCUCAACUCAGCCGAGGGAGAGUUUCCAUCAAAAGGAGGGCGGCAUCAUAAGAUUUUCCUACCACAAAGCUCCAUUAUGAUAUUUUUAAUAAUUUAUGUUUUAUAAAAAAUAAACAGUGGAAAC